GGCAUGGUGGUUCAGUGGUAGAAUUUUUGCCUUCCAUGCUGAAGCCCUGGGUUCAAUUCCCGGCCAGUACA
Molecule: transfer RNA, 71 nt
Filed under: Loxodonta africana (African savanna elephant)
Lineage: Eukaryota; Metazoa; Chordata; Mammalia; Proboscidea; Elephantidae
Rfam family: tRNA
About the family: Transfer RNA (tRNA) molecules are approximately 80 nucleotides in length. Their secondary structure includes four short double-helical elements and three loops (D, anti-codon, and T loops).
Source: Rfam by way of RNAcentral